Molecule: long non-coding RNA, 1023 nt
Organism: Carassius carassius (crucian carp)
Lineage: Eukaryota; Metazoa; Chordata; Actinopteri; Cypriniformes; Cyprinidae
Exons: 3
Source: RefSeq, a predicted model, not a curated record
AUGUUUACUGCACCAAUCGAGAAUCAUAAAGACCAAGGCGCUUAGGUUAUCGAAUUUGCAAUUUUGGUAUCUGACAAUGACGUCCAUUGAGCGUACUGACUAACAGUUGCCCAUAUAAUAGGAGCGACGGCCCCGAUGGCUAACGAUUGUCUGUCUGUGCACACACAUACUAACUGGGAAUUUGUGCAGAACACUUAGGAUAAUAGAUGUUGGGUAGAAGAGCUAGUCAACCGGGAUAAUAUCACAAGAGGAAUGAUUCAGGAACACAAGAGCCAGAAACACUUUAAGCGGUCAAGAGCAUCUCAACUGAAGACCACCAAAAUAACAUCAAGCGUGGGGGACAGGAAGUGAUUCACAAUAUAUCAAGCCUCAUUGCUUCAGGUCGUUGCUCUUCAUCUUCCGGCUCUCCCUCUCCAGAGAAGUCUCUUAGAAAGGCUCAAAAUACACUUUAUGACAAUGCAUACCACAAACAACCUGAUGUACACCACCCCAAUGCAAGAGCAGAAAGACCUCAACAUUGCGACAACUAGUUUUCCUGCAACUGGUGCCUCUGAGAUCAGCUGUUUAAUUGAUGCUCAGCUAACAUUUAUAGCAGCUGCAACUGCUGGUGGCGUCAUCCUGAUCCUUCUAACCUCCACCAUAGUGUUGGCAUGUACUGUCUCUAGCCUGAAACGUCGUCAACGGGCCCCUCGUCCAUCCCAAAGCAAUGCGGAGCUGGUGAGUGGAACGGGCAACUGGGGUACAGAGAGAAGAGAGGGCAGCACUGCGGAUCCAUGCGAAACCAGCGUUCUACUGGAGGAUGUAAAGACAGAUGGCAAGGAGGAAGAGAUUCAUGAUGGUAUCACCACUUCUAAUGCAACUAGUGAUUCAGAAACUGUGUCCCCACAGCCAUGCAGAGCUCCACCUCAAGAGAUUCCUGCAUAGAUCCCAUAAAUCUGGAGAACAUGCCUCUCAUGGUGUAAAGUAUAAGAGCUUUUUUUGUAUGCUGGGCUCUGACGACGACUUUUUUUUAUGUCUACAACA